GUAUAUUUGGGUAUGAUAGUGUAUUUUUAUAUGUGUUGGGUUUUUUUGUUGUUAUUUUUACUAUAGAUUCAUGAAGGGAGCACUGAAAUGUUCUUGAUCCUGUGGUAGGAUUAUAGAGUCUAUAUUCAUGUUGGCAAACCUAUGGCACACAUGCCAGAGCAGGCUGCUCCCUUCCCCUUCUCCAUGCACACCUGAGGACAUUUCUCACAUGGCCCACCUCUCUGGCCAGCAACCCAAUGGGAGCACUUCCUCCCUCACCUGUCUGGGAUAAAUGCAGCAUGAGAGUUGCAGCUUGGACACUCCUUCUCUAAAAGAUCCUGAGGGCUAGUCUGGUGUCAUGGAAUGGAAAAAGCUUCAGCAACCAAACACAGAUUUUUUUCAGGAUUAGAAAAUAGAGGAAACACCUAAAACAAAACACAAAAAAACAAAAGCAAAAAAUCUGUUACCACAAACUGAAUAUACAAACUUCAUAUCUGCUCUGACCAGGGGGCCUAUCACAGCUUCCAAAUUGCCUAGCACUUCUCAGGGGGGCAGUCUCUGUGGGAUUCACACCACUCAUCCUCUGAAGGCAUCAACUCUUAUCAAAAGUAUUCACCAGUUUCUGAUUGAGUUUCUGAGGGUAUGAACUCUUUAAUCAGCUUUGGACUGGUCCAGAUUCAAGGCCAGGCAUCACAAAGAGUAAGGAUUACUGGAUGGAUGCCUUUUUCAGUCCUCUGUGGAGAAGAGUUUCAUACUUGCCUUGACUGUGGCAACAUCUCAUUUAUCUUUUCAAAUAUUACUGCAUGUAUUAUUUUAUUAAAUCAUUGAUGCCAUUAUUUAAUACUGGUGUUU
This 831-nucleotide long non-coding RNA is filed under the name Monodelphis domestica (gray short-tailed opossum). RNAcentral describes it as "lncRNA (ENSMODG00000033963.2)". Lineage: Eukaryota; Metazoa; Chordata; Mammalia; Didelphimorphia; Didelphidae. The record is from RNAcentral.